This is a non-coding RNA of Apteryx haastii (Great spotted kiwi), 133 nucleotides long. Lineage: Eukaryota; Metazoa; Chordata; Aves; Apterygiformes; Apterygidae. The record is from Ensembl.
GUCUCCUCCCAUGGUAGUGGUGCAGGGAAGCGCUCCCCUUGCAGCCAGUGGGAGAGACAGAACAAAAGCUAGAGGAAAGUCGUCGUGGCUGCCAGGAGUUGGUGGCUGCCAUGUUUUCCUGCCUCUUACACUG